UACGUAGGGGGCUAGCGUUGUCCGGAAUCAUUGGGCGUAAAGAGCGUGUAGGCGGUUCGGUAAGUCUGCUGUGAAAGUCCAGGGCUCAACCCUGGAAUGCCAGUGGAAACUGCCGAGCUAGAGUCCGGAAGAGGCGAGUGGAAUUCCUGGUGUAGCGGUGAAAUGCGCAGAUAUCAGGAGGAACACCGGUGGCGAAGGCGGGUCUCUGGGCCGAAACUGACGCUGAGGAGCGAAAGCGUGGGGAGCGAACAGG
This 253-nucleotide ribosomal RNA is filed under the name uncultured bacterium. RNAcentral describes it as "partial 16S ribosomal RNA". It matches the Rfam family "Bacterial small subunit ribosomal RNA", at positions 524 to 776 of the family's 1533-position model. The record is from RNAcentral.